UUGUUGAAUUUCAAAUUAACCUACCAAUAAAUUGAAUUAAGAGAAGAAGAUUUAGAGGCAAUGUUGUAGCUAUGGUUGUCUUCUCCAACGGCCACUGGAUUCACCUCAGAAGUAGCUGCAGCAUCGUCUCUCUGCUUCCAUGAUAGGUUCUUGGCAUAUGGGCCUGAGCAACAUCCUAUAGUGCUGCUGAUUGGGUGAAAUAAUUUGAAGAAUUUGGCCAAAGCGACACAACUGGCAACUCCAUAUGGCUAUGAGUUGCGGAUGUCUUAACCCCAGAGUCGCUGGACAUGGGUGUUUUGGUGUGCUCUCAUGCUUGAUCCGUAAGAUUAGAUUUCCUUGCUUGAUACAUCAAAUAUAUAUUUUUUUCUGUAACAUUGCUCGGACAUAUGCACAACUUCUACAAGGAAAGUUGUAUGCUGCGUCCAUGUGCUUAAUUGCUGCAAAUACAAGUCCUCCUGUGAAUGUCAAAUGCAGAAUUGGACUUGAUGACCAUGACUCCUACAAUAAACUAUGGCUCUAUGAAAGACGUUGGUGGAGAAGAACAGUGUCUAUCGAAUGUCAAAGUGAUGUGCAGGCUAUACUUUUCCAGUGAGGAAGUGAAAGAACAAGGAAAAUGAUGUCAUGCAAAAGUUGCGGGAAGAAGAAAAUCACCGAAGCUUCCUGAAAGCUUGAUGGGUCAACAUAGAGGUACUCUUAUUGGCCACAAGAUUUGUCAGUUUUUAGUGUUGUACUCUUGCUAAUAUGCCCCUUUCUACUGAUCUCUUCCAUUGGAGUUCGUGGAGAUGUCCCUCAUACCGGCUUUGUGAGGGCUGUCGAAGAACCGGAGAUCCAAAAAAGUUCAUGUUUUGCAAAAGGUGUGAUGCAGCUUAACACUGGUACUGUAUGCAGCCUCCCCACAAGAACGUUAGUAGCAGGCCUUAUUUUUGCUCCAAACACACAAACUGUCACAGCUGUUAUUCUAAUGUUCCAGGAAAUGGACUGAGCCUGAGGUGGUUUUAGGAUACACUUGUUGUGAUGCCUGUGGAAGAUUAUUUGUGAAAGGAAAUUACCGUCCUGUUUGUUUGAAGGUAUGUAGAGAUUCUGAAUCAACACCUAUGGUCUGUCGUGACAUUUGCCAGCGCUAGGUGCAAUGCCAAUGUGAUGGCAUCAGGCAUAGAGGGACAGUCAUAGAAGUCUUUAAAGGUUCAUCUGUGUUGUCUGUUGCUCUUGAUGAUGGGAAGAAAAAGAACUUGGAACUUGGAAACCAAUGAAUACGUUUUGUGUCUCAGAAGCAAAAAUGUUGACUGCUAUUAAAAUUGGUUAUUAGAUGCAGCAUAUGUUGCGACUUCUAUUGCCAAGAGCAUGAGCAACUGCUGAUUUCUAGAGUAGUUCCUCCUUGGUGGACUCAAAUGAAGUAACUGAUCGUUGCAGGUCAAAUUUCAAGGUUACUUCACCCUGCAUCGUGUGUUCGCUGCAAGUUUGCUAACCUUUGCUUACCAUGUAUGGUGUUGGUUGGUUCUGUUAGUUUACCUGUCGUUUCCUAGUGUACAGAUUCUCUUUUCUGCUCAGAGGUAGAACUCAGUUUUUGAGCCUUUUGGUGGUACUUUAGUUUAAUCUUGCUGGGUUUGCAGUUUUAAUGUAAAAUAUCUAGAGAUUAGAAAGCUCUGCUCCUACUGGUUGUAAGGUAUUGCUCAGGGUAGAUGACAUUAUUAUACUUAUUUUUUAUUAUAGAAUAGCCAGUUGACCACUGUUUAAUAAGAAUUGACUAAAAUCACCAUGA
This is an RNA transcript of Solanum pennellii, 1759 nucleotides long. RefSeq lists it as uncharacterized. Lineage: Eukaryota; Viridiplantae; Streptophyta; Magnoliopsida; Solanales; Solanaceae. The record is from RefSeq and is a predicted model, not a curated record. The transcript has 9 exons.